UACGAAGGGGGCUAGCGUUGUUCGGAUUUACUGGGCGUAAAGCGUACGUAGGCGGAAUGUUAAGUCAGAGGUGAAAUCCUGGAGCUCAACUCCAGAACUGCCUUUGAUACUGGCAAUCUCGAGUCCGGAAGAGGUGAGUGGAACUCCUAGUGUAGAGGUGGAAUUCGUAGAUAUUAGGAAGAACACCAGUGGCGAAGGCGGCUUGCUGGGCCGGAACUGACGCUGAGGUGCGAAAGCGUGGGGAGCAAACAGG
This 253-nucleotide ribosomal RNA is filed under the name uncultured bacterium. Its description in RNAcentral is "partial 16S ribosomal RNA". It matches the Rfam family "Bacterial small subunit ribosomal RNA", at positions 524 to 776 of the family's 1533-position model. The record is from RNAcentral.